GGGAGAUGAGAGGCUGCUGCUGCUUUGAGCGAGAUGAUUAGUCCUAAGAGGGGCUGCCUCUCUGCACUGUCCCACACUGACAACUGCUCUCAGCUGCCUCCCUCCAGCAUGGAACGACAAAGAACCCAGCACUAACUCAACUGAGAGGGCGAUAAUCUGAACGCAGAGAAUUCACCUGCCCAGCCUGUUCAAGUACAGCCGGGAACCCAGUUAGAUGUGAACUGCUGAAGUGGGAUCUACGAUGGUUUGUUUUACUCAAAUUCUUCCCUUUGCUGGAAGCUGAGAACGAGAGCUGACAGAAAGUCACAUCACAGCUACUGAAAAGACUUCUAAACACAGAUUUGGGAACCGCUUCACACACACUAGUUUGAACAAUGCUGAAGCUCAUCAUCUGCCUUUUCCUGCUGAUCAGACUAGCAGGAGCCGAAAGGACUCCCACGGAAACCGAGGCUGACAAGCUCAGAGAGGCCAGGGAAGCCAACCGUCGCAGUGCCCGAUCCCCAGAGAGCGCACCCGCCACCAAAUGCACCUACACCUUCAUCGUUCCCCAGCAACGGCUGACUGGCCCCAUCUGCCUGAGCACCAAGAUGGCCGCUGGUGGAAAUGACAGCGUGAACAAGAGCGAGCUGCAGGCCAUGCGGGGUCAGAUGCGCGAGCAGCAGCAGCAGAUCGAAGACCUCAGGCAGAUGGUGGAACUGGAUGGACGCGUGAUCGACGAGGUCAAGUCCCUGCGGAAAGAAAGCCGCAACAUGAACUCCAGGGUGUCCCAGCUCUACGCCCAGUUGCUGCACGAGAUCGUCCAGAAGAAGGAUGACUCCCUGGAGAUCUCCAGGCUGGAGAACAAGGUGCUCAACAUCACAGCUGAAGUGCUGAGGCUAUCCAUCAGAUACAGGGACCUGGAGCGCAAGUACACAGCCCUCACCACCCUCAUCAACAACCAGAGCCGCACGAUUACUCAGCUGGAGAAGCACUGCAGUCAGCCGGCCCCCAUGCACCAUCAGCAGAUCCAACAGCAGGAGUCAGGACAGACAUCUCUUGGCACCAGAGCCAACAAUCUGAAUGGCAGCACCAACAAGAGCAAUAGUCUGGUUUCAGGCAAUGAAAUAUUGAGAGACCAGAUAUACAGCAUGACACAGGAUAGACUAAAGAGAACGGAACAGUCGCUUCCUACGGUAGUAUCAAUUGUGACAGCUACUAAGUCAUCAGGUCCCUGGAAAGACUGCCAGCAGGUUAUGGAGGAAGGCCACAGGUCCAAUGGAAUUUACCUGAUCAAACCUCAAAACACCAACCGACUGAUGCAGGUGUGGUGUGAACAGCAGAGGGAAGCUGGUGGUUGGACAGUCAUCCAGAGGCGCCAAGAUGGCUCCGUCAACUUUUUCCGGACGUGGGAGAACUACAAGCAAGGCUUUGGGAACAUAGACGGUGAGUACUGGCUAGGCUUGGAGAACAUCUACUGGCUGACAAAUCAGGACGACUACAAACUUCUCAUCCUCAUGGAAGACUGGCAAGGGAGAACAGUGUUUGCCGAGUAUGAUAACUUCUAUCUGGAAUCGGAGAGAGACUUCUACAGGCUGCGACUGGGCCAAUAUCGUGGGAAUGCAGGAGACUCCUUAUCCUGGCACAAUAACAAGCAAUUCACCACACUGGACAGAGAUCGGGACCAAUAUUCAGGUAACUGUGCCCACUAUCAGAAAGGAGGAUGGUGGUACCACACCUGCGCUCAUUCAAACCUGAAUGGAGUAUGGUACAAAGGAGGACACUAUCGUAGCAAGUACCAAGAUGGCGUUUACUGGGCCGAAUUCCGUGGAGGAGCCUACUCCCUGAAGAAAGUUCUUAUGAUGAUACGUCAAAGCUAGACAAUUAUGUAAUAUAAUUACUACUCGAUCACAAUCAUAUAUGGACUACAAUCAAUAACAAUGUUGUUAGGAUGUUUUAGGAGUUAACAGAAGAUGCAGACAACAGAACUACCUACUUAAAGCAUUAUCUUUUAGCAAUAACUAUGUAGAUCCAGAGUUAGAGAAAUUUACUCUCAUAGGCAGAAUAUUCCAGUAGUCUAUAGUGCUGUUGGCUCUUUGAGGUUCAUGUCUUUGACUUACAAACCUAUUUUUGUUGCAAAUAAUGGUGUGCACAAUGUGCCAAGAUCCACCCACUGAACUAAUGGUUUUCUAGGAUCACAUUCCUUCCAUGUCUGAAAAAGGGCUAUUAAAGUAGUAAAGCAGUUUAAAAAUAUUUUUUUUCCAUAGUCCUGUUUCAGUGAACUAAUUGUUAACAUUGGGAGAAGAGACAGCCAUCUUAAAAGUGACAGGAAAUAAAAUCCAAACAAGUCUGAUUUAGCACAAGAUUCCUCCAAAGCUUCCACAUCCUUCCUACAAUGAGGCAACCAGACCUGAACACAAUAUUGCAAGUGUGGUCUAACCAGGGUUUUCUGGAGCUACAGCUUUAACUUGUGGCUCUUGAACUCAAUCCCCUGACCGAUCUUGGUACCAUAAUCCUUAACACAAUAGACUUCAGUUCAGGUAUUAACGGACGUCCAGGCUUGGCACUAUUUCUGUUGGGGAAACAGUACCAGAUUCCUAUUGUCCUUUACGGAAUAUGCUUCCAGAAUGGCUACAAUCCUAAAAUUACACCCCUUCAUUCUGGAUAGCCCAGAGGAACAAAACGUUUACUUCCAGCUAGAAUCUUUUAAUCAUCUUAAACUUCCCAAAUAACAUCACCCCACAACAUUCUGUCCGCUAGCCUAUACUCUAACAAUCGUCAGCAUUAGCCUGGUAUCACUCUGAAUUACUGAAUUCUGUCCUGAACCACGAUGAAUCAGUAUCAGGUUUAGUAUCUCGGAUGUAUGCUUACUGUAAUCGCUGAGUGUGUGCCUUCAGGCUUCCGUACCUCCUUCUUGAUGGUAAUAAUGAGAAGAGGGCAUCCCUGGGUGAUGGGGGGGGGGGGGGUGCUGAUGGACCCCGUAUUUUAGAGGCAUUGCUCCUUGAAGAUGUCCUAGAUACUAUGGAGGUUAGUGCCUCUGUUGUUUUCAGACCAAGUUUACAAAUCUCCGCAGCUUACUUUGAUAUUGUGAAGUAGUGCCUCCCCCCACCUCCCCCCCCACCAUACCAUUUGGUGACACAGUGAGUUAGAAUACUUUCCACACUCUAAGUCUGCAGCUUUAUGACACUCGGAUUGUCUUAUACACUCUUCCACUCCAUAUACUGUAAAUAGCCUCAACAUACCCCUUUCUAGGAGAAUUUGCCAGCGUUCCCCUGCUACUCCAUACACACCUCAGGGAUCAGGGAGCACAUAUGCAACUUGGUCUCUCAGCUGUGCCUUGCCUUAAGAUUACAAGUGUAGCUUCCAUUCAAUUCUGUACAUACCAAUGGACAUUUAUACAGCCCAAUAUGUGAAACUGGAUACUAAUCAUCUGGACAUAAAAGAGCCUGGUUUGUGUUUGUUAAAUCUUUUAAAGAUGAGGACCAGCAUUUAUUCCUGAUUAAAGCUGGAUAUAUUAACAGGCAGCAGCCAUUCAAUCACUUCAAUCAUUAACCAGCUCAUCGUUGAUCUGUAAACUUAUCUCCAAAAAGCCCCAAGUAAAUUUAUAAUCAAAGUACAUAUGUCACCAUAAACAACUGUGAUUCAUUUACUUGCAGGCAUACUCAAUCAAUCUAUAAUAGAAAAAUAACCAUAAUCACGAGAGGUUGCACCAACUUGGAUGUUCAACCAGUGCGAAAAAGACAACAAACUAUGCAAAUAUAAAAAGAAAUAAAUAAUAAUAAAUAAACACAGAACAUGAGAUGAAGAGUCCUUGAAAAAUUUGGAUAUUUCCAGCACUUACUGGACAUUUAUAUAUGCCGUUGAGCUGAAGAGGAGAUGAAGAUCAGCGGUGAAUUGCUGCCAUGUGCUACAAUGGCUCGAAUGAUCCUAUCCACAAACAUGGGGGUCUGGAUCCACAAUGGAGAAGAAUAGCUGCUUUCCGUUCAGUAAAGGGCAAUAGUCAAUUAAAAUUUGUUUAUGACAGUCCUGCUUCAUGCCGAACAUUAGUAAUUCAAAGCUUUAUUCCAGAUUUAUAUUUAUGUCAUGAUACAGCCACGCGCAGGCUCUUCUGCUCCUGCAAGCCACUCCACCCCAACAAAACCAAUUAGCCCAAACCUAAUCACGGGGCAACUUCCACUAACCAAUAACCUGCCUGGUAUUUGUUUGGACUGUGAGAAGAAACUACUGCACUGCGGCUUUCCACAGAGCAGGGAUACAAAGACUUCCCACAAAACGUUGCUGGGAUUGAGCUCUGAAACGCACCGAACUGCAAUAGUGUUGCACUAACCGCUACGAUGUUUGCUAAAUUUUAUGCAGAUUUUAAAUUUCCACACAGCAUUUGAACUUCUGCCACUAAUUUUUUUUUUUAAAAAGACAAUCUUUACUCCCAAAUAGUCUUCCUUCAUUUACCCAAGCAGUAUUUUUUAUCUUGAAAGCUUCAGUCAGAUUAAAGGGUCAACGAUUCCAGGGUUCAUUUAAUAUCAGGGAAUGUAUACAGUAACCACCUUGAAAUUCUUACUCCUCACAGACAUCCACAUAACAAGAAACAUCAUAAAAUGAAUGAUAGAAACAACUAAGCCCUGAAGAGCUUCCCCCCACCCCCACUUCACUCUUCGCACAAGUAACACUCUACCCUCGAACUUUCUAAAAGCAGGUCACUGAAUAUCUCAACAAAUAAAAGAAAUGUGUUGGAAGCUACUCCAGAUCAAAGUGUAAAGAGACAACUAAUUUUCAGAGAGACAAUGGUCACAGUGGCACCGAUUAAAGUAACCUCGAUGACUGUGCUGGCCAAUAAAGGGAUGCAAGUGAACACAACACUGCAGUGCAAAUUUAGAUUCCGCAUCCCUGGCCCUUUCCAGAGAUUGUGGCUAUAUUCCUGCACUGGGCGACAGUCAGCUUCAACUACUGAAACUCCAAUCUGCUGAUCAGCUGAUUAAUGCUAAAGUAACUGUGUACAUUCUUUCAGUCCCACUCCCGCCGAUCCCUGCUAAAUCUGUUGAUGCAUUUGCUGCUAUUAUAAACAGAAGAUACCAGGAAUACUCAGGCAGGCAGCAUUUACGCACACAUAUAUAGACAAAAGAUUAACCUGAUCUUAACGGCUCCAUUAGGUCACCUGGUCUAACCUGGUCAUAGAUAUGCUGCUUGUUCACGUUCCUCUGUUACCCAAAUCUAUUGUGCAUUUCCCAGCCCCUCCUUUUCUACUGCAACUCCAAACUGCUGGUCAGCUGCUAAUGCUAAAGAAACCAUUAUACUCUUCCACUCCCACUCCUGCUGAUCCCUGCUAUAUCUGCUGAAUAGAUUAAAAUCAUGCAAAAAGCAGAAAUAAUACACAUUAAAAAGUGAGGUAAUGUUCAUGGGUUCAAUGUACAUUUAGGAAUUGGAUGGCAGAGGGGAAGAAGCUGAUCCUGAAUCGCUGAGUGUGUGCCUUCAGGUUUCUGUACCUCCUACCUGAUGGUAACAGUGAGAAAAGGGCAUGCCCUGGUUGCUGGAGGCCCUUAAUAAUGGACACUGCCUCUCUGAGACACCACUCCCUGAAGAUGUCCUGGGUACCUUGUAGGCUUGUACCCAAGAUAGAGCUGACUGGAUUUACAACCCUCUGCAGCUUCUUUCGGUCCUGUGCAGUAGCCCCCCCCCCCCACCCCCACAUACCAGACAGUGAUGUAGCCUGUCAGAAUGCUCUCCAUGAUACAUCUAUAGAAGUUUUUGAGUAUUUGUUGACAUACCAAAUCUCUUCAAACUCCUAAUGAAGUAUAGUCGCUGUCUUACCUUCUUUAUAAGUGCAUUGUUAUGUUGAGACCAGGUUAGAUCUCAGAAUCCUUGACACCCAGAAACUUGAAACUGCUCACUUUCUCCACUUCUGAUCCCUCUAUGAGGAUUGGUAUGUGUUCCUUCAUCUUAUCCUUCCUGAAGUCCAGAAUCAGCUCUUUGGUCUUACUGACAUUGAGUGCCAGGUUGUUGCUGCAGCACCACUCCACUAGUUGGCAUAUCUCGCCCCUGUACAUCCCCUUGUCGCCACUUGAGAUUCUACCAACAGUGGUUGUAAUGUCAGCAAAUUUAUGGAUGGUAUUUGAGCUCUGCCUAGCCACACAGACAUGGGUGUAGAGUAGAGCAGAGCAGUGGGCUAAGCACACAUCCUAGAGGUGCACCGUGUUGAUCAUCAGCGAGGAGGAGAUAUUAUCACCAAUCUGCACAGGUUGUGGUCUUCUGGUUGGGAAGUCGAGGAUCUAAUUGCAGAGGCCCAGGUUCGGUAAUUUUUUCAAUCAGGAUUAUGGAUCAAUUACCUAUGCUCAGACCAUAUCCCAGUAAGCCCCUUCCACCUACUUUUAAAAUUAUACUAUUGUAAAAGGCCAACCAGUUCCGGUAGCUAGUUCCAUAUACUCACCACCCUGUGUGCAAAACGUUGCCCCUCAGGACCUCUUAAAUCUUCCCCCAUUUUGUCUAAGCUCCCAUUUUCCUAUGUUGCAAUGAAUAAACCGAUGUUCCAUUCCCUCUUCUCAUUGUUACUGUCAGGAUGGUGGUACAGACGCCUGAAGGCACACACUCAGUGAUUCAGGAACAGUUUCUUCCCCUCUGACAUCCAAUUCCUAAACGGACAUUGAAUCCUUGAACACUUCCUAUUAUUUAUUUCAAUAGUGCAAAAAUAGUGCAAAAUAGUUUUAACUUUUUAAUAUACCUAUAUACUUAGUGUAACUUACUUUUCUUUCUACAUCAUGUAUUGCGUUGUACUGCUGCUGUUAAGUUAACAGAUUUCACAACAUAUGCCAGUGAUAUUAAACCAGAUUCUGGCCAACCCUAGCCUACAACUCAGGCCCUUUAGUCUCGGCAACACCUCUGCACAUUUUUCUACACCUCCUUCCAGACUACCAUCUCUAAGAUGAGUCAGAGUCACAGAAUAACACAGUAUACUCACAUUCAAUGCUCCGGUCCACAUUAAAACCACUAUUCUGUUUCACUCCAUCAGUCCCUUAUGCUCCAAAUCCUGCUUUUUACUCACCCCCAACAUUAGGUCAUUCAACAAUUAGCUGCGGUGCACAACCCUUGGCUUCAGAAUCCGCUCCCUAAACUUCAUCUCCCUUCAAAAAAUAAGUUGAAGAUCUAUCUCUUUAGCCAAGCUCUUGAGUACUUUCAGCCUGAGAUUAAUUUGAUAACAACCUUUGUGUCAGUUUACUUCACUGUCCUACUUUAACUCUAGAAGAGAACUGGAAGUUGUACAUCUUGUUCACAAAAAUUGACAUUGGAAAAUAUUGAUAUAAAGGUUUUUGGUUAUGUCCCAACCCAUGCCAAAGGCUCAACAUCAAAGACCAUUGAGGUCAGAUGUACAGGAGUUGUAUGUACAAGGUAGUUCAUAGACAAAGACAAUUGCCACAGUCCUUCAUCUGGUUAGAAAAGCUGGCUGUUGUAGGAGGCAAACUGGACACACUGGAGGCUGUGAUAGAACAAAGGGCCCUACAGAAAAUCCUGGGAAUUCCAGACAAUGUUUCUCACCCUCUGCAUGCCACCUUGGCUGAACAGAGGAGCACUUUUAGUAAUUGACUAAGACAACUGUGCUGGUCCAAAGAGCACAAUAUGAAGUUAUUCUUACCCUUAGCCAUUAGGCUCUAUAAUGUAUCAAUCUAUAGCAGCGGAAGUGAUGACCCCUUCCUGUCAGACUGUUUGAGGUAACUUACUUUAUAUUCUUUCUUACUUCUUUUCUAAUACUUGUAUACCGUUGCACUUGUAAUGCUACUGGGACACUGUAAAUCCCUCUGGGAUCAAUAAAGUAUCUAUAUCUGUUGCA
This is an RNA transcript of Hypanus sabinus (Atlantic stingray), 7792 nucleotides long. It is a transcript of the gene named angiopoietin-like 6, with no coding region annotated. The transcript has 7 exons. Lineage: Eukaryota; Metazoa; Chordata; Chondrichthyes; Myliobatiformes; Dasyatidae. The record is from RefSeq and is a predicted model, not a curated record.